AGGUUCUUCCAUUUAUUUAAUCUGUCAUGUGAAGCAUUAGAAGGUAGUUUACUUGCAUUUGAGGAUCAAAAAAUCCCCAUUAACUGUGGAAGCAAUGAUAUUCCCUUUAAUUAUUUUUCUAAUUGCCUUGUUUAUAUGGUGUGAAAAGCAAUUUAAACAUGUUUUAAAAAAUGUUUCCAUGCAACCUAAGUUUUGGCCAUGAAACAGCACCUUCCUUGUACUUCUCCAGCUGUUGUCCUUUCAAAGCAGGGGAUGCUAUUCUUCUUGAACCUGAAAAACAGAAUGUCAGUGUGUUCUGUGAAUUUCCUGUGAUUUUCACCAGUGGAACACAUGCCCAGAACCAAGCUGAGUACUUUCCAGAGCACAUUUUUCUAGGUGCUGGAGAGAGAAAAUAGGACAAGUUUCCAAAUGCUAAGGGGAUAUAAAGGAGAGGAUAAAUGCAGCAUGGGGACCAGCCAUAGAACUGUCAUGGAGUGGGACAACACUUGACUCCUUUCCAGUAGCAGAAUCUUCCCAGAGGACUUUUCCUAAGAAAAUGAUAUUUGUGUCCCUUUCAAAAUGACAUUUUUAAUUGCACCUAGGAAUGGGCUAUCAACAAACACCCUGCCUCCUUGUCCUGGUGGUUAUUUUGAUGAUUGAGAUGACUCAGCGUUAACCUUGAACAUUUCAAAACCAAGUACCAGGAAAUGUGGAGUGUCCUCUAAUGUCUUUUUAAACUUACAGGGUCUAGCCUAAUGAUAUUAGCUGAUUUGAUGGCAGAAAAUAGGCCUAUCUAAGCAUUCUGCAGACACUUGGAAGAAAUUAAUAAAUGUACCUCAUUCUAGUACAUGAGAAACACUAGGAUUAUUACAAUGAAGAAACAAAGGUAAGACACAAUAGAACAAGAAUGCAUUCCUUGGGACAAUGAAAACCAAAAAAAUAUAUAACUUUGGUUUUUUGUUCUAUAAUGAAGUUGUUUACAGAAUAAAACAAUAAGAAGAAUCAAUGGGAAAAUAAAAAGGAAAAUCCAGACAUUAAAGCAGCAUUUCAUGCCAUCAACAUGGGUGGCUUCUCCACCUUCCUCAAAGUAGAAUAGCAAACUUUUAAGUUCCCAAGGUGUUUACCUACUUAGCCACACAUACCAUGGGCCCACUUCUCAGUGGCUUUGAUAUACCUAGCAUGGUCUAAAGAAG
Molecule: long non-coding RNA, 1172 nt
Filed under: Pan troglodytes (chimpanzee)
Lineage: Eukaryota; Metazoa; Chordata; Mammalia; Primates; Hominidae
Description: long non-coding RNA NONPTRT011512
Source: RNAcentral